GUGUUUUAAGGUUAGGAAAUAUUUUCAAAUGAUUUAUAUUCUUAGUUUUGUUAAAUGAAUAUUGAUAGUGAAUGAUCCAGUUAGUUCUAUAUACGUUAUUGGACACAUUACUUCAUAGACUAUAAUAUAACAAAGCCGUUAAUAUGAAAGUUUUGUAACGGAAUAGCGUUAUAAAUAGAAACUUUUGUUGAUUACAGACAUUAAGUAGGGCUGUAUUAAAAAUGUGUGGUAGCAAUAUUACUUAAACUCAAUGCGAGAAGAUCCAGUACCGUGGCCUCGGUCCUGCGUUGGCUUGGCGUCCUCUCUGUGACACUAACAUUUAACACUACUCCACGUGUGUUGCAAAACACGCAAAGUAUGAAUGUUUUGUAUGAAUGAAAGUGUGAGAGUGUGCGUGCGUGUAGAACUACAUUUAACUAGAACAAGUAAUCCUCCACUUCACAACACAUUAAGGGUGAUGCGGCCAGUGCGGCAGGAGGUCGCCCCACUUACACUAAUACACACA
Homalodisca vitripennis (glassy-winged sharpshooter) is the source of this 505-nucleotide long non-coding RNA. RefSeq lists it as uncharacterized. The transcript has 4 exons. Lineage: Eukaryota; Metazoa; Arthropoda; Insecta; Hemiptera; Cicadellidae. The record is from RefSeq and is a predicted model, not a curated record.